Molecule: small nuclear RNA, 107 nt
Filed under: Sus scrofa (pig)
Lineage: Eukaryota; Metazoa; Chordata; Mammalia; Artiodactyla; Suidae
Source: RNAcentral
AUGCUCACUUCAGCAGCACAUAUAUUACAAUUUCAGCCAUACAGAGAAGAUUAGCAUGGCCCCUGUGCAAGGAUCACACGCAAAUUCAUGAAGUGUUCCAUAUUUUU